Molecule: unclassified non-coding RNA, 325 nt
Organism: Erinaceus europaeus (western European hedgehog)
Lineage: Eukaryota; Metazoa; Chordata; Mammalia; Eulipotyphla; Erinaceidae
Gene: 7SK
Rfam family: 7SK RNA
About the family: 7SK was discovered as an abundant small nuclear RNA in the mid-70s but a possible function has only recently been suggested. Two independent studies have found that 7SK RNA binds the CDK9/cyclin T complex (known as elongation factor P-TEFb).
Source: Ensembl
GAAUGUGAGGGUGAUCUGGCUGUGACAGCUGUCACCUCAUUGAGCACCAGGGUUGAUUCGACUGAUCUGCCUGGCUAGGUCGUGUCUCUUUCCUCUCUCACAGCUCCAUGUGUGUCCUUCCCAAAGCUGGAUGGAAGAGAAUGGCCUUCCCCGAACAGAGACAGGACAGUCUUCAGUUGAGGGUAAAUGAGUAGUUGUACUCCCUUACUAAAACCUCCAAACAAGCUUUCAAGGCCCCUUUGUAGGAGAACAUAGGGUAGUCAAGGCUUCCAAGACUCCAGGCAUAUCCGUAUAAAGUGCUGCCUAUGGCAGUCUGCCUUAAAAA